RNAcentral lists this ribosomal RNA (440 nucleotides) under uncultured bacterium. Its description in RNAcentral is "partial 16S ribosomal RNA". It matches the Rfam family "Bacterial small subunit ribosomal RNA", at positions 338 to 795 of the family's 1533-position model. The record is from RNAcentral.
CCUACGUGGGGCAGCAGUAGGGAAUAUUGCUCAAUGGGGGAAACCCUGAAGCAGCAACGCCGCGUGGAGGAUGAAGGUUUUCGGAUUGUAAACUCCUUUUGUUAGAGAAGAUAAUGACGGUAUCUAACGAAUAAGCACCGGCUAACUCCGUGCCAGCAGCCGCGGUAAUACGGAGGGUGCAAGCGUUACUCGGAAUAAAUGGGCGUAAAGAGCGCGUAGGCGGGAUAGCAAGUCAGAUGGGAAAUCCUAUGGGUUAACCAUCGGACUGCCGUUGAAACUGUUAUGCUAGAGUUGGAGAGAGGUACGCGGAAUGCGCGGUGUAGCGGUAAAAUGCGUAGAGAUCGAGAAGAACCCUGAUUGCGAAGGCAGCGUACCGGCUCCACACUGACGCUGAGGCACGAAAGCGUGGGUAUCGAACAGGAUUAGAUACCCUUGUAGUC